AAGCAAUGAUUAUAGAAAUAUUUGCUACUUCUGAUGAAUAAUGAAGCUAAAAAAUAUCACCAAGAUCUAUGAGCUU
This is a small nucleolar RNA of 76 nucleotides. It matches the Rfam family "Small nucleolar RNA SNORD24". Rfam says of the family: U24 is a member of the C/D class of snoRNA which contain the C (UGAUGA) and D (CUGA) box motifs. C/D box snoRNAs have been shown to act as methylation guides for a number of RNA targets. U24 is encoded within an intron of the gene for ribosomal protein L7a in mammals, chicken and Fugu. The record is from Rfam.